GAUGAACGCUGGCGGCGUGCUUAACACAUGCAAGUCGAGCGAGUGAGUUCUUCGGAACGAUCUAGCGGCGGACGGGUGAGUAACACGUGGGCAGCCUGCCUCAUAGAGGGGAAUAGCCUCCCGAAAGGGAGAUUAAUACCGCAUAAAAUUAUCGAGUGGCAUCACAUGAUAAUCAAAGGAGUAAUUCGCUAUGAGAUGGGCCCGCGGCGCAUUAGCUAGUUGGUGAGGUAACGGCUCACCAAGGCGACGAUGCGUAGCCGACCUGAGAGGGUGAUCGGCCACAUUGGGACUGGGACACGGCCCAGACUCCUACGGGAGGCAGCAGUGGGGAAUAUUGCACAAUGGGGGAAACCCUGAUGCAGCAACGCCGCGUGAGUGAUGAAGGUCUUCGGAUUGUAAAGCUCUGUCUUUGGGGACGAUAAUGACGGUACCCAAGGAGGAAGCCACGGCUAACUACGUGCCAGCAGCCGCCGUAA
RNAcentral lists this ribosomal RNA (476 nucleotides) under uncultured bacterium. RNAcentral's name for it is "partial 16S ribosomal RNA". It matches the Rfam family "Bacterial small subunit ribosomal RNA", at positions 28 to 523 of the family's 1533-position model. The record is from RNAcentral.